This 1460-nucleotide long non-coding RNA is filed under the name Oryctolagus cuniculus (rabbit). Its description in RNAcentral is "lncRNA (ENSOCUG00000032292.1)". Lineage: Eukaryota; Metazoa; Chordata; Mammalia; Lagomorpha; Leporidae. The record is from RNAcentral.
GAAUUUUAUGCUGAUUGUGGAAAGUCUUCUCCGUGUGCUGGGGUCACAGACGCCAGAGCUCCUCUGAUGGAACAGGUGUCGGAAACGAGAGGGGAGCCACCAUCUAAAGGGGCAACCCUGGGAAGUGCGCACUCGGUGAUGUUUCCAGAGAGGCUCUGGGUGUUCUCUCACGUAGAGAAAACAGUGGCCAGAAAGGUGAGGGGAAGGAGCUGGGGAGAAGUUUGUUAGAUGAUGCUCGGAAGGUGGUAUAAGUUGUGGAGUGUCCCUCCAAAAAAAUCGACGUCCCUCGGAACCUCAGAAUGAAUUGAACUCGUCGUGGCUGUGAGAAGAAACGAGACCGUCCCACGCUGGGUUACAGAGGGCUCUAACUCCAAUGCCUGCUCUGCCAGGAACACCAGGAGAGGAUGCUCAGAGCUCACAGGGCACUUUGGGUGCAGACAGAAGCAGAGCCUGGAGAGGCAGGCAGUGCUGUGAGCCGGACAAUGCCCAGGACAGCAGUGCACACCAGGAGCUGGGGCAUGGUCAUAGAGCAGGUUCUCUCUCCAAGCCCUCAGUGGGAACCAACCCUGCUGACCUGCUUUGAGCUUCCCCUGCUCCCGCCCUGUCUCCUGCCCAACAUUGUCACGGCAGCCAGAGAAAAUAAAUUCAGCGGAUACAUGAAACCAAGACGGAGCAUGAAUGGAUCUGCACUGGGCACGUGGAGGUCCUCAGCAGUGUUAGACCGCAGCCCUCCAGGGGAGAACUUUGAGGAGUGGACGGGAAGUGAGAAGAAGGUGGAUACCAUCUAUCUGUCCCUGCCCUGCCUGUCCAGGCCAUCCCCAGUCACCCCAUGCCUCGCUGUGAGAGAGGGAAGGAGGAGACCCAGGGGCAUCUGCCUGCAGUUCUGUCUGUGGGACACGGAGAGGAGGAACUUCAAGUCCUCAGCCCUCUCCCAGGGCACUCGGGAGACUGGCUGGGCGCCCAACCAAGAGGAGCUUGGCUCUGCCCAGGGCCAGCAACGUGACACAGCCAACAUGAAGCAGCCACCAUUACAUUCUGGAAGACUGAAAGGAAAUAAACACAAGAGAUACUUAAAAUGGAACUGCAGACGAUGUGCUAUGGGGGCAACCCAACCCCAUGGAGACAGGUUAUCCUCAGCACCCAGAACCCUGGAACACCUGGUAAAUAUUUCCAAUAGACUCCCAGUAUCCAAGUUACUGUAUGUUUCGCAGAAACAAGAAAAAAACACCUUGAUCUGCACUCAAGAGGUGGCUAUGGAAUGGAUGAAUCAACUCUCAAGUUCAACUUUGCACCCCAGACUCCAGUGCUGUUGCAGCCACCGAGGCCAGGAGCCAGCCUGGUCUGCGUUGGGCACUCUCGCUUCCGUCUGCCAGUCAGUUGAUUCUGUAGCAGGAAUUUGCCUCUGCAGGGAGUGGGCUGGGAGUGGGCUGCAGAGCAGGGAAGCUGGCGUUCAGUUGUGA